ACGAACGCUGGCGGCGUGCUUAACACAUGCAAGUCGAACGGAAAGGCCCUGCUUUUGUGGGGUGCUCGAGUGGCAAACGGGUGAGUAACACGUGAGUAACCUGCCCUUGACUUUGGGAUAACUUCAGGAAACUGGGGCUAAUACCGGAUAGGAGCUCCUGCUGCAUGGUGGGGGUUGGAAAGUUUCGGCGGUUGGGGAUGGACUCGCGGCUUAUCAGCUUGUUGGUGGGGUAGUGGCUUACCAAGGCUUUGACGGGUAGCCGGCCUGAGAGGGUGACCGGCCACAUUGGGACUGAGAUACGGCCCAGACUCCUACGGGAGGCAGCAGUGGGGAAUAUUGCACAAUGGGCGGAAGCCUGAUGCAGCAACGCCGCGUGCGGGAUGACGGCCUUCGGGUUGUAAACCGCUUUCGCCUGUGACGAAGCGUGAGUGACGGUAAUGGGUAAAGAAGCACCGGCUAACUACGUG
This 467-nucleotide ribosomal RNA is filed under the name uncultured bacterium. RNAcentral's name for it is "partial 16S ribosomal RNA". It matches the Rfam family "Bacterial small subunit ribosomal RNA", at positions 29 to 507 of the family's 1533-position model. The record is from RNAcentral.